UAGAGGUGUCAGAAAAGUUACCA
Molecule: small RNA, 23 nt
Filed under: Arabidopsis thaliana (thale cress)
Lineage: Eukaryota; Viridiplantae; Streptophyta; Magnoliopsida; Brassicales; Brassicaceae
Description: snRNA_12042
Source: RNAcentral